This 190-nucleotide ribosomal RNA is filed under the name Leuconostoc garlicum. RNAcentral's name for it is "partial 16S ribosomal RNA". It matches the Rfam family "Bacterial small subunit ribosomal RNA", at positions 78 to 261 of the family's 1533-position model. Lineage: Bacteria; Bacillati; Bacillota; Bacilli; Lactobacillales; Lactobacillaceae. The record is from RNAcentral.
GCUUGCACCUUUCAAGCGAGUGGCGAACGGGUGAGUAACACGUGGAUAACCUGCCUCAAGGCUGGGGAUAACAUUUGGAAACAGAUGCUAAUACCGAAUAAAACUUAGUAUCGCAUGAUACAAAGUUGAAAGGCGCUACGGCGUCACCUAGAGAUGGGUCCGCGGUGCAUUAGUUAGUUGGUGGGGUAAA